Long non-coding RNA from Lucilia sericata (common green bottle fly), 1979 nucleotides. RefSeq lists it as uncharacterized. The record is from RefSeq and is a predicted model, not a curated record. The transcript is spliced from 3 exons. Lineage: Eukaryota; Metazoa; Arthropoda; Insecta; Diptera; Calliphoridae.
UAAACAAACGUCACUAGUUAAAUGAGCGGCAAAAUAACAAAUUGCAAAAAUUAAACAAGUGAUAAGAACAAAAUCAAAAAUAUUAAAUGCGCAAGCAUGACAUACAGUAGUUAUAAAAAAUAUUAAAUAAUACGACAUUAUAAACAAAUAAAAAUCAGAAAAAUCGAAAUAGUAAUAUUCAUAAAAAUGAUAAGUUUUUUGGCGGCUGGACAAAUGAAUGGAAUUUUUGUGAAAUUAACUAGUAAAAGAGAGCUGUGUAAACACAGUUAAUAUUUUAUUGCAAAGAGAAAGAUAUUACAGUGAUUUUGUUGCUAUAAAUAUGACGCGUUAUCAAAAAAUUAUAACAAAUUCAAAUAUUCAUGUGCGUAUUUAUGAAUCAUAAAAUAAAUAAAUUGUUUUAAAAGAUAUAUGUAGGUACACAAACAACAUGAAAACUAAAAAAGGCGUCUAAAUACGACAACGUUUGUUUUGUGAUGUUAAUCCUUUUGGAAAAUGUUCAUAUUAAAUUAUUCAAUACAUUUUAAAUAGUGUAUUAAUACCCUUUUGCAGCAAUAUUAUUAUUUUACACAAACAAAACAACAAUUGAAAUACAAAAUAUAUCAACAGGAUACCUGUAGAAACUGUAGCUCUGGUCUAAUUCACCCAAGAACACACAUUGAAAAAAUUAAAAUUUCCUAUAAGGAAAUACUAAAAAAUCAAUCAUAACAAGCCUAUACUUAUAUCCUAAAUUUAAGUUAAAAAAACUAAUAUCAUAAAUGUAUUUAUACCAUUUACUAUAAUUAAAAAAUCCAUUUAAAUUAAAAAUAAACUUAAAACUGUAUGUAUGUCGUUUAUAUUAUAUGGAUCCUGAGCGAAUGAUGUGAUAGAUUUUUCAAAUUAUGUUAAUUUAUAGUAUACAGUUCUUGAAAUACGAAAGUAUAUUAUAGUUUUAGAAUUCGGUUUAUAACUCUCAUUGCGACCUGAAAGUAUAUGGUCAUUUUUUUAAAUGUUUAAAUAUUCCUGGUAUUGUACAAGAAAAUCGAAGUUGACUAUAAAUGCUUAAAAAAGUUACAUUACGUAUACAUAGUUAGGCCGAAAAUAAGACGAUUUUGUUAGCUUUACCGUUCUUAUAGCUUUUUUUAAUUUUAUUUGUUAUUUUUAAUGGAAUGUUGUUGUGUUAUUUUUUCGGAUUUUUAAAUUAAACAUAAAUACAUAUGAAUACGAAUUGAUUUUUUUAAAUUAAAUUAAUUAGUGUGUAAUAAGCAACUGAUGGAAUGAUAAUGUAAAUAAAUAUCCACUCAUUUACUUCAAGAAUGGCAUAAAUCAAAAAAACAUAUAAAGUACAUUGGAAAGUAACGAGUUAAAAAGCUAAAAAAAAACGCUUUUCACUACUUAUUCAUUCGCAUUCUAACUCAUCAUACUUAUAACUACAUGAAUAAGUGCUUACAAAUAUGGAGUUAAAAAGUUUAGUUUUGAUGUUUACAAAAAAAAUAGACAAAACUCUAUGAAAGACUUUAAUAUGUUACAUAUUUUCUUAACCCUUUCACGCACAAAACUAAACCGCAGGACUUUUUAUGGAUAUGACUUCACCAUACAAUGGAAAAAGUGUUUUCGAUGGAUAUCUAAAAAAUAACUUAUUUUUCUUUGGAAAUGAGCAUUUACUCUAGCUGUGAAUCAAAAUUACGCUCAAAAUCGAGAAAAAAUUAAAAAAAUCUUGGGACACCGGUGUCCCGUAUACGUGAAAGAGUUAAAAAAAACCCGAAUUUUGGAUUAUGACAGUCUUGCUGUAAAUGUAAAAAAUAUUUUUUUUAUAAAAUUUUAUAUUUGAAUGAAAAUAUUAAAGAGUAAAUAUUGAUAUUAAAUGAGUUUUCUUAUGAUUCUGUUUAAUAUUUGAUGUUUUAAAUAAAAAAUUUAUUUAUGUACUAAUUAUGUAGUUGAUUUUAAUUAAAUAUUGAUUUCUAAUUAAACUUACCUUUUUGUUUAGUUGACCAUCAAUUUAA